Molecule: ribosomal RNA, 260 nt
Filed under: uncultured bacterium
Lineage: Bacteria
Description: partial 16S ribosomal RNA
Rfam family: Bacterial small subunit ribosomal RNA
Source: RNAcentral
GGACGGGUGAGUAACACGUGGAUAACCUGCCCUCGGCACCGGAAUAGCCCGGGGAAACCCGGAUUAAUGCCGGAUAGCCCCACAUCCCUGCGGGGAACGUGGGAAAAGGUAGCUUCGGCCUCUGGCCGAGGAUGGGUCCGCGGUGGAUUAGCUUGUUGGCGGGGUAACGGCCCACCAAGGCGACGAUCCAUAGCUGGUCUGAGAGGACGAUCAGCCACACUGGGACUGAGACACGGCCCAGACUCCUACGGGAGGCAGCA